CCACCCUUUAAUGUUUGAUGUUCUAACGUGGAUCCGUAAUCCGGGUUGCGGACAGUGUCUGGUGGGUAGUUUGACUGGGGCGGUCUCCUCCUAAAGAGUAACGGAGGAGCACGAAGGUUGGCUAAUCCUGGUCGGACAUCAGGAGGUUAGUGCAAUGGCAUAAGCCAGCUUGACUGCGAGCGUGACGGCGCGAGCAGGUGCGAAAGCAGGUCAUAGUGAUCCGGUGGUUCUGAAUGGAAGGGCCAUCGCUCAACGGAUAAAAGGUACUCCGGGGAUAACAGGCUGAUACCGCCCAAGAGUUCAUAUCGACGGCGGUGUUUGGCACCUCGAUGUCGGCUCAUCACAUCCUGGGGCUGAAGUAGGUCCCAAGGGUAUGGCUGUUCGCCAUUUAAAGUGGUACGCGAGCUGGGUUUAGAACGUCGUGAGACAGUUCGGUCCCUAUCUGCCGUGGGCGCUGGAGAACUGAGGGGGGCUGCUCCUAGUACGAGAGGACCGGAGUGGACGCAUCACUGGUGUUCGGGUUGUCAUGCCAAUGGCACUGCCCGGUAGCUAAAUGCGGAAGAGAUAAGUGCUGAAAGCAUCUAAGCACGAAACUUGCCCCGAGAUGAGUUCUCCCUGAGACUUAGAGUCUCCUGAAGGAACGUUGAAGACGACGACGUUGAUAGGCCGGGUGUGUAAGCGCAGCGAUGCGUUGAGCUAACCGGUACUAAUGAACCGUGAGGCUUAACCUUACAACGCCGAAG
Molecule: ribosomal RNA, 743 nt
Filed under: Salmonella enterica subsp. enterica serovar Infantis
Lineage: Bacteria; Pseudomonadati; Pseudomonadota; Gammaproteobacteria; Enterobacterales; Enterobacteriaceae
Description: partial 23S ribosomal RNA
Rfam family: Bacterial large subunit ribosomal RNA
Source: RNAcentral